AGCAAACAGCCAGGAGGAUCGUUAGCAUAAUUUAUUUUGUUUAUGUUUUACAACAGUGCGAUAAAACAAGAUGGACGCCAGUGGGCGGUAAAUAAAUAUUAAUGACAUAAAGAUGAUAAAAGGGACACAAAAGGCAAAGAGGACGAAUGUGUUAUAUGUUGGACAUGGCAUUCCUCAUUUAGAAAUCUAAAUCCAGCGGAAACAUUAUAAAUAGAUCCGAGGCAGACAGUUUAUGUGAGAAAACCCUCCAUCUUGCCAGAGUUGAGGCUGUUCUGGAGAGAGCAAAUGGAAUAAAUUCUUCCGAGAAGUCUGUGCAAGACUGGUCAGGACUUACUGGAAACAUUACAACCAGCAGACACCACAUAUUGAGAGCAAAUGUGUGCAAUCUGUCUCCUGAAUGAUAUGCAAUACUGCAGUGUAACGGAAGGACAUCUAGGCAUAUAGUACCUGCACAGUGACACUAACCAGCUCAUUAUGGGGGACAGAAACCCGUUACCAGGGCAGAAGGGAUACAUAGUCCCUCCAGUGUUUCCUACGUCGUACCCACAAAACUUCUAAAGGAAAAUGCCCAGGAGGCAUCCUGAUCUGAAGAUUAAACCACCUCAACCGACUCCUGUUGAGGCUGAGAAGCUCCUACAAUAGCUUCCAUCAGAGGAUUGAGAUUUCAUCCGAUCUUCAGCAGAGCCAGGUGACUUUACAAAGCAAGCUGAUGUCCACCACCGGUAUCUGAGAUCUCAUUCUUUUUGGUAAUGUCAUUAACCUUGGUCAGGGUUGGAGAGGUAAACAGGCUGGUAAAUUGAGACCUUUGCUCUCGAUGUGUUUUUACUGUCUCUUUUGGCUGCUGAUACAGUGCUCUACACACCUUUGAGUCCAUGACAAAUUUCCCCCUAGGGGACGACAAAGUAUAUGAUCUUCUAUUCAUUGCCUGCAGUGCUGCAGAUGAACACCAGUCCAUUGGUCCUUCUUCUACUCCAUUCUGCCAUCGUCCAUGAACAACAUUUUCCCGUAAGGCAAAGACUACGUGGAGGGAGCAAUCAACAUUUUUCCAUCAGUAAACCAUGAAUUCAGACAUCAUCUGCAAAAACUGAAGAUAAGAACCGAAGUUUCCCUGACCAGAAACCCUUCUCUCCAUGACUACACCUUGAGACAAUGUCUACACCCGAAACAAACCUGGUAUAGGGGAUUGCUUCUGUUCGGCCAUGCUGGACCCUUCGGUUCUUCAUCAGGCAUAGCAACAACUUUCUUUACUGCUGUUAAAUUCAGAAAUCACUUUUGUUUUUAUUUAGGCUGUCACAUAAAAUCCUCCUCAAAAAAUGCUUAGAAGUUUGAGAUUGUACCAUUACAAAACAUGAGAUAUUCAAGGGGUGCCAAUACUUGCAAGGCAAUUAUUGCAAGGCAAGGAGUGCCUUGCAAUACUUGCGAUACUCCUGCUUAGUAUCGCAGUCUGACCAUGUCAGU
Molecule: long non-coding RNA, 1458 nt
Organism: Gambusia affinis (western mosquitofish)
Lineage: Eukaryota; Metazoa; Chordata; Actinopteri; Cyprinodontiformes; Poeciliidae
Exons: 3
Source: RefSeq, a predicted model, not a curated record